UACGGAGGGUGCAAGCGUUGUCCGGAUUUAUUGGGUUUAAAGGGUGCGCAGGCGGCCCUUUAAGUCAGCGGUGAAAGUCCAGCGCUUAACGCUGGGAUUGCCAUUGAUACUGAAAAGCUUGAGUACAGUUGAGGUAGGCGGAAUUGACGGUGUAGCGGUGAAAUGCUUAGAUAUCGUCAAGAACACCGAUUGCGAAGGCAGCUUACUAAGCUGUAACUGACGCUGAGGCACGAAAGUGUGGGGAUCAAACAGGAUUAGAAACCCCCGUAGUCC
This 273-nucleotide ribosomal RNA is filed under the name uncultured bacterium. RNAcentral's name for it is "partial 16S ribosomal RNA". It matches the Rfam family "Bacterial small subunit ribosomal RNA", at positions 524 to 796 of the family's 1533-position model. The record is from RNAcentral.